Molecule: RNA transcript, 805 nt
Organism: Helianthus annuus (common sunflower)
Lineage: Eukaryota; Viridiplantae; Streptophyta; Magnoliopsida; Asterales; Asteraceae
Exons: 2
Source: RefSeq, a predicted model, not a curated record
CUAUAUAUAUUGUUCAUCUUUCAUCUUCGAUUCCUUCACCACCAAGCAAAAAUAUUCAUGGCGUACGUUCAGAAAUACGUGAUUCUCACGCUUCUGCUCCUUUCAAUCUUCUGCAUCAACCAAACAGUCAAGUGCGAUGACGAUAACGAUGACGAUGAUCAUUUAGAUGAAGAAGACAUCCUUCUCGCUGGAAUCAAUAGCUACAGAGCAACCCUAAACUUAACAGCUCUAAUUGAAAAUGAGCGAGCUGAAUGCCUAGCUGAUGAAAUCGCAGACCAAUUUAAAUACCAACCAUGCACAAACACAACUGGCUCCAACACCGUACCUGGAACUGAACCAGAAAUUUUCAAUUAUCCAAACCUUUUACAGAAAUGUCAUUUGAAUGUCAACACUACCAGAGAUGGUGUUAUUCUUCCUGCUUGUGUUCCAAAUCUUGACUCCACCCUAGUACUUUCCAACUACACUAUGUCCCGGUAUUCAAAUUACUUAAAUGACACCAAGUAUACCGGAGUCGGGAUUGGUUCCGAAGACAAUUGGAUUGUCGUUGUGUUGACUACAAACACCCCGGAGGGCAGGUUUUGGUAGUAAUGUUGUAAACUAAAUAAAAAAGAAAGAAGAAGGGUUCUGAUUUCAACCAUUUGUAUUUUAUGUUGUCUCCCUGUUGGAGCUAUUAAAUAAAAGACUACCAAAGGGCUUGUAGCCUAGAGGUAUCAUGUGUGUAAAUUAAACUAUUAAAUAAAAGACUACCAAAGGGCUUCUAGCCUAGAGGCUAGAAGUAUCAUGUGUGUAAAUGGUUUGAAUUAAA